Molecule: long non-coding RNA, 325 nt
Organism: Astatotilapia calliptera (eastern happy)
Lineage: Eukaryota; Metazoa; Chordata; Actinopteri; Cichliformes; Cichlidae
Source: Ensembl
ACAACACACACACUCGCACACAAGCACAGCCAGCCUCGGCACACAGACGCUGUACGAGCCUCACCGUGUGAACACUAACCAUGGCUGAAGGAGGAGAAGGCGAGGAUGAAAUCCAGUUCUUGCGUACUUGACAGGAAAACAAGCAAAGCAAAGAAAAGGAAACACACAGUGGAGAUCAGCAUGAUAUUCCAGAAUAAUGCUGUCCUUAUUUGGAUUCUCCUCUCUUAUGUCUUCAAUACAAAUCACUUUGACCUCUUCAGUAAAUCAGUCGGAUGAUGAAUGCUGCUUUCUCCAUGGGAGUAAGGGACAGAUUGAAAUAUCCUCA